UACGUAGGGUCCAAGCGUUGUCCGGAAUUAUUGGGCGUAAAGAGCUCGUAGGCGGUGUGUCGCGUCGGAUGUGAAAGCCCGGGGCUUAACUUCGGGUCUGCAUUCGGUACGGGCAUGCUGGAGUUCGGUAGGGGAGACUGGAAUUCCUGGUGUAGCGGUGAAAUGCGCAGAUAUCAGGAGGAACACCGGUGGCGAAGGCGGGUCUCUGGGCCGAUACUGACGCUGAGGAGCGAAAGCGUGGGGAGCGAACAGG
RNAcentral lists this ribosomal RNA (253 nucleotides) under uncultured bacterium. RNAcentral's name for it is "partial 16S ribosomal RNA". It matches the Rfam family "Bacterial small subunit ribosomal RNA", at positions 524 to 776 of the family's 1533-position model. The record is from RNAcentral.